Molecule: ribosomal RNA, 299 nt
Filed under: bacterium
Lineage: Bacteria
Description: partial 16S ribosomal RNA
Rfam family: Archaeal small subunit ribosomal RNA
Source: RNAcentral
AACUCUUUUAUUAAAGAGAAGGAAGUCAGCUGGUUUCAUAGUAAUUAAUUAUAAAAAUAAUUAAUGAAGGGAACCAACCGAAAUUAUUGAUAAAAUAAUUUUGGGCUCGCAGUAUACGGGAAAACCGUCUGUACUGUGGGGAACCAAGUAGUUCAGCAAUGAAUGAAAAAGGAAAUGCCCGUCAAACCAACCGAGUUUUGCAUUGAUGAGGCCCGUUAGGGACGAGUCUUUGUAAGACAAGGUAGGUUAAGUCGUCACAAGGUAUCCGUAGGGGAACCUGCGGAUGGAUCACCUCCUAA